AGCGCAGGCGGGAAGACAAGUUGGAAGUGAAAUCUAUGGGCUCAACCCAUAAACUGCUUUCAAAACUGUUUUUCUUUGAGUAGUGCAGAGGUAGGCGGAAUUCCCGGUGUAGCGGUGGAAUGCGUAGAUAUCGGGAGGAACACCAGUGGCGAAGGCGGCCUACUGGGCACCAACUGACGCUGAGGCUCGAAAGUGUGGGUAGCAAACA
RNAcentral lists this ribosomal RNA (208 nucleotides) under uncultured bacterium. Its description in RNAcentral is "partial 16S ribosomal RNA". It matches the Rfam family "Bacterial small subunit ribosomal RNA", at positions 568 to 774 of the family's 1533-position model. The record is from RNAcentral.